RNAcentral lists this ribosomal RNA (473 nucleotides) under uncultured bacterium. Its description in RNAcentral is "bacterial SSU rRNA". It matches the Rfam family "Bacterial small subunit ribosomal RNA", at positions 355 to 825 of the family's 1533-position model. The record is from RNAcentral.
UAGGGAAUUUUGGGCAAUGGGCGAAAGCCUGACCCAGCAACGCCGCGUGUGGGAUGAAGGCCCUCGGGUCGUAAACCACUGUCAGGAGGAAAGAAAAGUCGGCCGGAUAAUACUCGGUCGACCUGACGGUACCUCCAAAGGAAGCACCGGCUAACUCCGUGCCAGCAGCCGCGGUAAUACGGAGGGUGCAAGCGUUGUUCGGAAUUACUGGGCGUAAAGCGCGUGUAGGUGGUCGAGUAAGUCGAAUGUGAAAGCCCCGGGCUCAACCCGGGAAGUGCAUCCGAAACUGCUCGACUAGAGUCCCGGAGAGGAAGGCAGAAUUCCCAAUGUAGGGGUGAAAUCCGUAGAUAUUGGGAGGAAUACCGGUGGCGAAGGCGGCCUUCUGGACGGUGACUGACACUCAGACGCGAAAGCGUGGGGAGCAAACAGGAUUAGAUACCCGCGUAGUCCCUGAGCGGGCUGGCAAGGCGCAU